Anolis carolinensis (green anole) is the source of this 140-nucleotide small nuclear RNA. Its record names the gene U2. It matches the Rfam family "U2 spliceosomal RNA". Rfam says of the family: U2 is a small nuclear RNA (snRNA) component of the spliceosome (involved in pre-mRNA splicing). Complementary binding between U2 snRNA (in an area lying towards the 5' end but 3' to hairpin I) and the branchpoint sequence (BPS) of the intron results the bulging out of an unpaired adenosine, on the BPS, which initiates a nucleophilic attack at the intronic 5' splice site, thus starting the first of two transesterification reactions that mediate splicing. Lineage: Eukaryota; Metazoa; Chordata; Lepidosauria; Squamata; Anolidae. The record is from Ensembl.
AUUGCUUCUUGGACUUUUGGCUAAGAUCAAGUCUAGUAUCUGUUCUUAUCAGUUACGGUAGAUAGAAAACAUUGUCUGAUGUAUUCCAUCAACAGAGCACUGGGAUAUAAGACAUGCCUUUCUAGUUUCUGGCAGCUUUU